This 323-nucleotide ribosomal RNA is filed under the name uncultured bacterium. RNAcentral describes it as "bacterial SSU rRNA". It matches the Rfam family "Bacterial small subunit ribosomal RNA", at positions 28 to 334 of the family's 1533-position model. The record is from RNAcentral.
GAUGAACGCUGGCGGCGUGCUUAACACAUGCAAGUCGAGCGAAGCACUUAAGUUCGAUUCUUCGGAUGAAGACUUUUGUGACUGAGCGGCGACGGGUGAGUAACGCGUGGGUAACCUGCCUCAUACAGGGGGAUAACAGUUAGAAAUGGCUGCUAAUACCGCAUAAGACCACAGUACUGCAUGGUACAGUGGUAAAAACUCCGGUGGUAUGAGAUGGACCCGCGUCUGAUUAGGUAGUUGGUGGGGUAACGGCCUACCAAGGCGACGAUCAGUAGCCGGCCUGAGAGGGUGAACGGCCACAUUGGGACUGAGACACGGCCCAA